CGUCCUAUUAGCUAGUUGGUGAGGUAAUGGCUCACCAAGGCUACGAUGGGUAGGGGUUCUUAGUGGAAGGUCCCCCACACUGGCACUGAGAUACGGGCCAGACUCCUACGGGAGGCAGCAGUAGGGAAUAUUGGUCAAUGGGCGCAAGCCUGAACCAGCCAUGCCGCGUGCAGGAUGAAGGCUCUCUGAGUUGUAAACUGCUUUUGUACAGGAGCAAAAAAAUCCCUGCGGGGGUUCUUGAGAGUACUGUAAGAAUAAGCACCGGCUAAUUCCGUGCCAGCAGCCGCGGUAAUACGGGAGGUGCAAGCGUUAUCCGGUUUUAUUGGGUUUAGAGGGUGCGUAGGCGGCUUAUUAAGUCAGUUGUGAAAUCCUAGUGCUUAACGCUAGAACUGCGAUUGAUACUAUU
Molecule: ribosomal RNA, 406 nt
Filed under: Cardinium endosymbiont of Bemisia tabaci
Lineage: Bacteria; Pseudomonadati; Bacteroidota; Cytophagia; Cytophagales; Amoebophilaceae
Also listed under: 1 other name
Description: partial 16S ribosomal RNA
Rfam family: Bacterial small subunit ribosomal RNA
Source: RNAcentral